RNAcentral lists this ribosomal RNA (386 nucleotides) under uncultured bacterium. Its description in RNAcentral is "bacterial SSU rRNA". It matches the Rfam family "Bacterial small subunit ribosomal RNA", at positions 355 to 758 of the family's 1533-position model. The record is from RNAcentral.
UGGGGAAUCUUGGACAAUGGGGGCAACCCUGAUCCAGCCAUGCCGCGUGAGUGAAGAAGGCCUUAGGGUUGUAAAGCUCUUUCAACGGUGAAGAUGAUGACGGUAGCCGUAGAAGAAGCACCGGCUAACUCCGUGCCAGCAGCCGCGGUAAUACGGAGGGUGCGAGCGUUAAUCGGAAUUACUGGGCGUAAAGCGCGCGUAGGCGGUUGCUUAAGUCGGAUGUGAAAGCCCCGGGCUCAACCUGGGAACUGCAUUCGAUACUGGGCGACUAGAGUACGAGAGAGGGAGGUAGAAUUCCACGUGUAGCGGUGAAAUUCGUAGAUAUUCGGAGGAACACCAGUGGCGAAGGCGGCUCACUGGCUCGAUACUGACGCUGAGGUGCGAAA